This 253-nucleotide ribosomal RNA is filed under the name uncultured bacterium. RNAcentral's name for it is "partial 16S ribosomal RNA". It matches the Rfam family "Bacterial small subunit ribosomal RNA", at positions 524 to 776 of the family's 1533-position model. The record is from RNAcentral.
UACGGAGGGUGCAAACGUUGCUCGGAAUCAUUGGGCGUAAAGCGCACGUAGGCGGCCUGAUAAGUCGGGUGUGAAAGCCCUGGGCUCAACCCAGGAAGUACACUCGAAACUGUCAGGCUUGAAUAUGGAAGAGGGUCGCGGAAUUCCCGGUGUAGAGGUGAAAUUCGUAGAUAUCGGGAGGAACACCAGUGGCGAAGGCGGCGACCUGGGCCAAUAUUGACGCUGAGGUGCGAAAGCGUGGGGAGCAAACAGG